UACGUAGGUGGCAAGCGUUGUCCGGAUUUACUGGGUGUAAAGGGCGUGUAGCCGGGAAGGCAAGUCAGAUGUGAAAUCCACGGGCUCAACUCGUGAACUGCAUUUGAAACUGUUUUUCUUGAGUAUCGGAGAGGCAAUCGGAAUUCCUAGUGUAGCGGUGAAAUGCGUAGAUAUUAGGAGGAACACCAGUGGCGAAGGCGGAUUGCUGGACGACAACUGACGGUGAGGCGCGAAAGCGUGGGGAGCAAACAGG
This 253-nucleotide ribosomal RNA is filed under the name Oscillibacter ruminantium GH1. Its description in RNAcentral is "partial 16S ribosomal RNA". It matches the Rfam family "Bacterial small subunit ribosomal RNA", at positions 524 to 776 of the family's 1533-position model. Lineage: Bacteria; Bacillati; Bacillota; Clostridia; Eubacteriales; Oscillospiraceae. RNAcentral also lists the same sequence under 2 other names. The record is from RNAcentral.